This 478-nucleotide ribosomal RNA is filed under the name uncultured bacterium. Its description in RNAcentral is "partial 16S ribosomal RNA". It matches the Rfam family "Bacterial small subunit ribosomal RNA", at positions 28 to 523 of the family's 1533-position model. The record is from RNAcentral.
GACGAACGCUGGCGGCAUGCCUAACACAUGCAAGUCGAGCGAGCAGAUCCCUUCGGGGUGAAGCUAGCGGCGGACGGGUGAGUAACACGUGGGCAACCUACCUCAUAGAGGGGAAUAGCCUUCCGAAAGGAAGAUUAAUACCGCAUAAGAUUGUAGCUUCGCAUGAAGCAGCAAUUAAAGGAGCAAUCCGCUAUGAGAUGGGCCCGCGGCGCAUUAGCUAGUUGGUGAGGUAACGGCUCACCAAGGCGACGAUGCGUAGCCGACCUGAGAGGGUGCUCGGCCACAUUGGGACUGAGACACGGCCCAGACUCCUACGGGAGGCAGCAGUGGGGAAUAUUGCACAAUGGGGGAAACCCUGAUGCAGCAAUGCCGCGUGAGUGAUGACGGCCUUCGGGUUGUAAAGCUCUGUCUUCGGGGACGAUAAUGACGGUACCCGAGGAGGAAGCCACGGCUAACUACGUGCCAGCCGCCGCUGUAA